UAAAUAACACUGCACCGCUCAAACGUCAGAUAGUGAACUCGUGCAUCGGUCCAUUGUGGUGAUUUCGAAAUGUCAAACUAUUGAUUGUUGUGAAAUGGAUGCAAUUGAGAUGGUGAUGAUCAUGUGGUAAGUGCGAUGAAAUUUUAUCUGAGAAUCGUUUCUUUGCCGGCCAGUGAAAUAUCCCCGUAGAUUGACGGCCAAAAUCAACCCGGAAAAUUUUCACUAGAGAAGAAUAAAUUCUCAAAUCGAAGUCCAUCACAUUUAAGUAAUUAAUUAUAACUUUGAAAAUUGAGGUUAUGUUUUAUGCUUCUCAAAAAAAUUUGAUGAUAAUUAGAUUUUAUUUUUAUUAUUGCUAGUCUUUGGAAUAAUUUCGUGGGUUCAUUUGAAUUCAGUUUUGAAAACUUUUCUCCUUAAUAUUCCUAACAAUUUCUAUCCUACAAUAAAUUAAAUUGAUAAAAAUUACAUAAUAAAAAUCAUAACAAUUCAACUAAAUUUACAACACAUGCACAAAAACUAAAAUAAAGAAAUGGCCAUCAUGCAAAAUAAUUACAAAAUUUACAAGAGAAAAAUCUCAUAUUUUUUUUGGUUGAAUUAACGAGUUUUUGGUUUAAGAAGUCCUCCUAGACAAAGCUAUUAACAGGAAACACUUCACAACCAAAACUCCCACAACACAAAUAUACACGCAAUCAAUGCUUUUUCUUUUAGGUACUACGACCAUUCAUCUCUAGUGGCUUCAUUCAGCUUUAACACUGCCCCUGAUUAAACGACUGAUUACAAUCAGGACAGCUGCCGAUAAUGAAGGCUAGUAGACGUCCUUCUGUCUCACUACCACAAUGGGUACUCAGUGAGUAGAUCUUCAUGAACAUGGGCCCAAUUAACACAAAUUAAAACUUCCUAAGAAUCUUCUUACAAUCACUGCCUCCGCAGCAUUGAGAAAAGACGUCGAAGAGGUCAAGCAUCCGAAGAGCAUCGCGUACGAAGACUGAAUGAAAUAGUGGCUCUAGAAGAACUAUUAACAGAGGAACUCUGUCCGUGCUGAGACGAACUUCCCUGGAUUCGAGUUAUGUAACACCCACAUGAUUUCACUUUCGGUGUUUCAACUCCACAGUGACGAAAAUGCUCAUCAUAUCAAUCACCACUUCUGAAUGGGUGUUGUCGCGCAACGUAGUUUGCAAUGAAAUUUAAAAUUAAAAAGAACUAUUUAUGAGCUAAGAGUAUCACAAAUUUGAAAACCUAGUUAAUUGAAAAUGCC
This is a long non-coding RNA of Aedes aegypti (yellow fever mosquito), 1252 nucleotides long. RefSeq lists it as uncharacterized. The transcript has 3 exons. Lineage: Eukaryota; Metazoa; Arthropoda; Insecta; Diptera; Culicidae. The record is from RefSeq and is a predicted model, not a curated record.